This 12700-nucleotide long non-coding RNA is filed under the name Theobroma cacao (cacao). Its description in RNAcentral is "long non-coding RNA (TCAC_LNC004210)". Lineage: Eukaryota; Viridiplantae; Streptophyta; Magnoliopsida; Malvales; Malvaceae. The record is from RNAcentral.
UUUGUUAGAGAAUUUUGGGCAUCCCCCAAAUUUCAAAAAAAUUGAGAAAGGGGUUAUAUUCACAGAUUCGGAGAUAGAGAGGUGUGAUGAUACGGUGGUCCCACAUGACCUUCAAACUUUAACUAUUAACAAGGAUGAUGAUUUCAAAUGUUUAAACAACAUUCCUUUGUUUCGUAAGGCGACUGACUGGAAGGAAUGUCGAAUUGGGGAGUGUGAAGGGAUGGAGUGUGUGGUUGACUUGUCAUUAUCGUCUUGUGACGCACUUGACAACAUUGAGGAGUUACGCCUAUUUUUGUUGCCAAACUUGCGUGAAGUUGUGAGAGUAGGAGUAGCGGUUGAAAUUGAAUCUACCUCUCAUGCUCCAACACCACCUGCCAUCUUUUCUUCUCUUAAACGAUUCCGUAUGAGUUUUUGUUCGAGGGUGAAGAAGUUGUUUCCAGUUGAGCUGUUGCAAGGCCUCCAAAACUUAGAGGAUAUUAAUGUUUUAGAUUGUGCUGAAAUGGAGGAAAUCAUAGCAUCAGAAGAAAAUCACGAAGGAGAAGGAACAACAUUAUUCCCAAAUUAAAAUCAUUAAAGUUGGCUACGUUACCAAAAUUGAAAAGCAUUUGCAGUGGUGGAGUUAUGGUUUCUUCAGAUUCUCUCCAAAGUCUUCAAAUAUGCUAUUGUCCAAAAUUAAAGAGGAUCCCUUUGUCUCUUCCCCUUGUUGAAAAUGGGAAACCAUCUCCUCCUCCUUCUCUAAAAGUAAUCACAGUAUGGCCGAUAGAAUGGUGGGAAUCAGUGGAAUGGGAUCAGCCUGAUGCUAGGGAUCUCCUUUCUCCCUUUGUUCGAUAUUCUUUCUUCUAGAAUGAGAUGGAGAAGAGGUGUUUGAUUAAAUGUGGCUGCAAGGCUCUUGCUUCUUAUUAAAAGCUGCAAACAUUGUGAGUUUUUUUUCAUCCACAUCCUCUUUUUUUUCUCUUAAUUUCUCAUUUGCUAAAUAAUUUCUCCUUUUUAAUAUCAAAAUAAAACUAAGUCUUUAACUUUUUAUUUUUUAAUACAAAAAUAAAUUCUCCAACUCAACACCCUUCAAUCAGCAUUUCUCCGCCAAUUGCUAUGUGACAUUUCCUACAUCCCCUCCUAUUACACCUUCCCACCCGUUUCCUUUAUUUUCAUUUUCACUCGCAUGUUUCAAAAAUUCUUUGAUUAUUAUGAAUUAAAAUGUUGAAAGAUAUAGCAAAAUGACUAAAAGGUUUUCAAUUUGCUGCAGGCUUGGAGAUUAUGGGAGGAAGGAAGGCACCCCUGUUGAACUUGGUGAUGAAUUCUUAGGACUAUCCUGCAACCUAUCAGAUGUGAGACGAUGCAUCCACAUUGGUCUUUUAUGUCUACAACAGCUCGCUAUGUCAUCUCAAUUGUCCCCCUGAAGCAUCUUCAUCUGGCAAGCCUGGAUCAUUCUCACUGAAUGAAAGAACCGCAUCGAUGUUGGAGGUUUGUUAGGGAGUUGUAUCCUCAUAUCAUUCCCUGAAAGAUGGAACUCAUGACACUGGUCCCAAGGGUGUAAGCACAAUAAGCCUUUACUGCCAAAGCAGAGAUAGAUUUAUCAUAUUUAAAAGAUUCAAAAGUGCCAGAUGCUACACAUUCUUGUGUGACUAAAACUAUGAAUCUCAAGGAAUGCAGGGCUAAAUGUCUACACAACUCUUCCUAUAUGGCAUACGCUAGUUCAGAUAACAGAGGAAGAGAUAGUGGUUGGGCUCUUUGGUUUGAUAAUCUGAUUGAUUACAGACAAUUUCAAUCAGAAGGGCAGGAUCUAUAUGUUAGAGUGUCUGCUUGAGAAUCAGGUAAAAGUCUACAUUUUCACUUGCUUCCAUUGCUGUUUUUGGUUUUUGUUCAUGUAUGCUUUUCUUUAUUACUUGUUUUUUUUUGUUUUUGAAAGGUAAGCCUUGGCUGAAGCUUGCUACAAUGAUUGCAACACCACUAUGCUAUGCUUUUAGGGCUGUACUAUCAGUUAUUACAUUUAGAGAAGCUGCAGAAAGCUGAAAGGUAACUUUGAUAUAUCUUUCACAAAUAUGCUCCUUUUGUUUUUUUUUUUUCUAAAUAAACAAAAAAAAAUUACUUUGUUAAUACUGAUGCUAGCAAAUCCACCUGCAGUUUCUUCAAAAGAGUUAAAUAGAUUCUUUGCUGGUUCAUUUCAAGGAAAAGUAGUCUUCAAUCCUUAUUGGUGUGAAAAAAAGAGUUUUUAAUGAAACAAAUGGAUGGGGAUACUUCGUUUUGUGUGAUCUCAAAAACAUCAGCUCAAUCAAAAUGCAUAUUUUAUGCUGAAUGCCAAGCCUAUGUUGACUACUAUUUCAGAGAAGCAGAAGACAAUAAGGAAAAUGAUCAAGAAAAUCAAGGCCAGGAUAAAGACGUGGAGCUUCCAAUAUUUGAGCUUGCUACCGUAGCUCGUGCUACUGAUAGCUUUUCUAUGGACAACAAGCUAGGGGAAGGUGGUUUUGGACCUGCUUUUUAGGUAAACGUUGCAUAAUAUUAUUCAAGUUACCUUAACUACUGAGAAUUUAUCCUUACUAUCAAAGCUCAUUCAAAAAUGUAGUUUUCCAGGUGACACUAGCAAAUAGACAAGAAACUGUUGUGAAGAGGCUUUCAAAGAGCUUAAAAAUGAAGGAAAAUUGAUUGCCGAACUUUAGCAUCAGAAUCUUGUGAGGCUUCUUGGGUGCUGCAUUCAUGGAGAGGAAAGAUGGCCGGUUUAUGAGUACAUGCUUAACAGAAGCCUUGACUAAUUCAUUUUUGGUCUGAAUUUUCAAAACCUUUCAAUUUAAUUGGGUUUAUUGCUUCUCCUAUCAUAAAUAUGGCCUACAUUUUACACAUGGUAUAAUUUGCUGCUUUCAAAUAUCAAAAAUACUUACCAAUUGCCAGAUCAAACAAUAAGUAAAGGACUGAAUUGGUCCAAGUGUUUUCUGCGGCAUUGCUAGGGGACUACUUUAUCUUCAUCAAGAUUCCAGAUGAAGGAUUACUUAUAGAGAUCUCAAAGCUAGCAACGUUCUGCUCGAUAGUGAAAUGAAUCCAAAAUUUUCCGAUUUUGGCCUGGCUACAACUUUUGGAGGAGACCAAACCAAAGGGAACACUGAAAGAAUGGUUGGAACUUAGUGUCACUUUAUUUUCAUAAUGUCUACAAAUGCUUAAAUAUUUAAAGCUUUUGAUGAUGUUCUGCUGUGGUUAUGUGGCACCAGAAUAUGCUAUUUAUGGACUGUUUUCAGUAAAAUCAUAUGUCUUGAGCUUUGGUAUUAUUUUUCUUUAAUCUUGAAUUUAAAGAAUAUAAAAAAAAAUACAAUAGAGGGGUUCUAUUAUCCAAGUCAUGGUGGAAACCAUUCUUUGUUACUAGUCUUGAGCUAAAAGAUGACAAAAGCUUUUCAAUUUGUUGCAGGCAUGGAGAUUAUGGGAGGAACCCAGGCAGGCCUGUCGAACUUGUUGAUGAUUUCAUUAGGACUGUCUUACAAUUUAUCACAUGUGAGACGAUGCAUCCACAUUGCUCUUUUAUGUCUACAACAACUUGAUGAGAACAGAUCAACUAUGUCAUUUGUGAUUCUGAUGUUGGGAAGUUAAAUUGAAUUGCCUCAACCCAAACAACAUGGGAGUUUUUUUUUUUGGUUUAUGAACUGUUCCCCUGAAACAGAUUCCACAUAUUUGUGGUUCAAACUGGAAUUGGGAUGAUACCUAGCUUCCACUUUUUAAAAGAUUCAAGCCUGCUCAUCAAACUGGUCUCAAGGGUGUAAGCACAAGAAGCCAUUAAAUUGCUUCUGAUUGAUUGUAGACAAUGUCAAUCAGAAGGGCAAAAUCUAUAUGUUAAAAACUUUCUGCUCAGUAUCAGGUAUGAGUCUACAUUUUCUCUGGUUUCGCUGCAUUUUUCUUUUGUUCAUAUAUGCUUUUCUUUAUCAAAUCUCAUCAUACAGAAUUGAAAGAUAAGCCUAGGAUGAAGCUCGAUGCAUUGAUUGCAACACCACUGUGCUGUGCUUUAGGGCUGCAUUGAUUACAUUAAUAGAAGCUGUGGAAAGUUGAAAGGUAACUUUGAUAUAUCCUUCACAAAUAUGCUCAUUUUGUUCCUUUGCUAAAUAAACAAAAAAAAUUACUUUGUUAACAGUGAUGCUACCAAAUCCACACGUAGUUUCUUCAACAGAGUAAAUUAGAUUCUUUGCCAUUUCAUUUGAAUAAUAUUUUUUCAAGAAAUAAGUAGUCUUCAAUGCUUAAUGGUCUGAAAAAAGAGUUUUUGAUGAAGCAAAUGGUUGGGGAUAUGUGAUUUUGUAUGAUCUCAAAAACCACAUAAGCUUUUUGUUCAGUUAAAUAGCUCAAUCAAAAUGUAUAAGAACCUAGCAUAUUUUAUGGUGAAUGCCAGGCCUAUUUUGAAUAUUGUUUCAGAGAAACAGAAAGCAAUAAGGAAAAUGAUUCAGAAAAUCAAGGCCAGGAUGACGACGUGGAGCUUCCAAUAUUUGGGCUUCCUACCAUAGCUCUUGCUACUGAUAGCUUUUCUAUGGACAGCAAGCUAGUGGAAGGUGGUUUCGGAACUGUUCAUAAGGUAAAGUUGCAUCAUAUUAUUGAAGUUACCUAAUUACAGAGAAUUUAUCUUUAUUAUGGAAGCUUAUUCAAAAAUGAAGUUUUCCAGGGCACACUACCAAAUGGACAAGAAAUUGCUGUGAAGAGGCUUUCAAAGAGUUCUGGAAAAGGAUUGAACGAGUUUAAAAGUGAAGUAAAAUUGAUUGCCAAACUUCAGCAUUAGAAUCUCGUAAGGCUUCUUGGGUGCUGCAAUCAUGGAGAGGAAAGACUGUUUCUUUAUGAGUAAAUGCUUAACAGAAGCCUUGACUCAGUCAUUUUUGGUCUGAAUCAUUCAAAACCCUUCAAUUUAAUAUGGUUUAUAAUCAAGACAGAGUAGCAACCUUGUUGGACAUGUCAAUUUAAGCAGAUAUUAUUAUAAUCAAGUUUUUGUUGCUUAUUUUAAACUGAUAAAACCUAAAAGGGUUUCAAUUGUUGAAGGCAUGGAGAUGGAAAGAAGGCAUUCUUUUAGAACUUGUUGAAGAAUGCUUAGGAGAGUAAUCUAUCAGAAGAGAUACGAUGCAUCCAUAUUAGUCUUUUAUGUGUACAAUGGCAUCUUGAGGAUAAACCAGUGUGUCAUCUGUGAUUUUAAUGUUGGGAAGUUAAACUGAAUAGCCAAACCCCAUACAACCUGGUCUUUUGUUUCAGAAAAUUCCAUUGAAGAAGAUUUUUCAUCAAACAAGCAUGUAUCUUCUUUGACAAACGAAAUGAAAUGACUCUGACACUCAAUAAUUGACUAACUGUAUGAUUAACUCUUUCAUCUCCAAGCCAUUAUUAAAAUGCUAUUGGUCAGUAUGUUUUUGACCUUCUGCUUUGGUGCCCAUGGUUUAGGCCCCGUUUAGCUUAGUACUUGCAAGUGCCUACUUGUCGGUAAUGUUACAAGAUGACUUUGAUUUGAAUUAUGUGCAAUCUCAUCAGUUGUAAAUUGAUUUGAUUUCUUUGCUCCUGCACUUUUUCAGAUGUUUCAUUAAGGAAGAGUCAUUUAAUCAUCACGUCAUUACUAAAGUAAAAAUGAAUGAUAUUCUUUACUUAUUUGCAUUUGCUACGUAAUCUUAAUAGAAGGCUCGAAUGUAGCUUUUCACAAAAAAAGGAAGAAAGAAGGCUUGAAUGUAAUCAUUGAUGAUGUUAUUCAUGAUCUUGUUGACUGUCCUAUGUCAAGUUCUUUUGCCUUUAAUGUCAUAUAUGCACCAUAAAAAUAUUUACAGGCAUAAUAUCUUGUUGCCUUUCCUGGUUUUACAAGCUCAACAGGUUUACAUAAUUGAAACAGCUAAGCACUAACCUUUGCAACCAUUUACCUCUUGCCAAGAGCAGGAUAGUAAUACUGAUAAUAAUGAUUGUAAACAAAUAUAAAAAUUACACUUUCUCAUUUUAAUUAGUUAUGGAUCAAGUGAAUGUACCAUUAACGAAUGGACUUUACGUCAAAUUUGUUAUUAUGUAAAAAUUUAUAGAAAAUAAUAAGUGUUACAUACAAUAUUGGUCAAGAUAUGUUAUGGCUAAUUCAAAACAGAAGUAUCAAACAUGCAGAGAAGAAAAGUAAAAGCAAUAAAAACAGAGGAACCUCAUUACUAUCGAUCAUCCAUUAACUGAAGAAAGAUACAUGAAUAUAUACAUGAGAUACAUGGUUAACACUUGUACAAAACAAUCAAGUGUUAAAUAUAAGAUUAAGAUAAGUAUGCAAUGCUUACACGUUCAAGGACAUGUAGCAGCAACAAAGACUCUGGCUUAUGAAACCAGUACAACGAAGCAAAAUGGACACUUGUCCAAAACUUAGUUAAACAGAAAAACAACACUCAAGCUAGUUUUAUCUCAACGCUAGUAAGUAGCAAAGUACAUACUAGGCGAUCCUUGCUUCACUUGACUUGGUGGCUGCACAUAGUAAUCUGACAUGACUAUUGAGUGGAAAACCAACCAAGGAACUAUGACAAUCAGGUUGCUUCAGUGGAAACCCCUGAUUCGAGCAUGGUGAAUGCUGAAGCUCCAUCAAACACUUAUAAAAUGGAGUAAAGUUAAGAGAUCAUAACCUAUUUCAUUCUGUGCAUAAGCAAACCUUUCUUAUCAGUAACAAGAAAUUAAGAGAAUUGCUUUCUUGAUUGAAAUAAUUGUCUUCUUAAGUUAUAAAUUUUUAUUGAUGUAGUAAGUCUAUUAAUGCAAAAUAAAAUUACUUUUCAAAAAAAUUGCAGAAUAUUUGAAAGGGCAUCUGUCAAAUUCAUAUUUGCAUCAUUUUCAAAAAAAAAAAUUCAUAUUUGCAUCAUUGCCAAACAGAAGACAAGAAGGACAAUAAUGGAGGAGUGCACGGUAGGACAAGUGGCCCCAUAAUUCAGUCCCACUUUGUCAGUUUUUCUUCGGUUCACAUUUGCGUUACUGUGAAACAACUUCAAGGAAAGUGAUUUUACAAUUUGUGCGACGACUUUCCAUUGACCUGCGAGCUUUUAAUUCUUUUUAACUUUAAUUCAUGUUUCUAUUUGUUUUCCUUUUCCAUUUUGCUUAAUUAGGUUGACAAUAUUUUAACUUUUUAAUUGAGUUGCCAGUUUAAUUCUUUUUUCUUUAUAUUAAACUGUUUAAUAUAGAUUUGGGUUCAUCUUUUCUGGAAUCUUAGAUUCGUCAUCUUUCCUCCACAUAAUUAUUUCCUUACACAGUUCAUCUGCUUGUUGCUGCUAUUUCUUGGUUGUGCUUGUUUCCCAAAUUUAAUAAAUACCUAAGGAUACUACUAUCAGCUCACAGUCUCCUUGAACUAGGUAAACUAUUUAUGCUUGUGUGAUUUACGUUUAUCUUUGGUAGCAAUAAUUAAUCAGAAUCUUAGCUUAUAACAUAAAUUAAUCUGUUUGUUGCUGUUUUCUUGACAAAUAUUGAAGGAGAUCUUCGUUUCAUGCUUUCACAAAUUUAAGACCCUCUAAAGAUGGGAGAAGUACUAGUUCAUCUGCCUCACUUGACCAGCUAAUUAAACUGUUUAAUCUAGAUUUGGGUUUAUAUUUUUUGGAAUCUUAGAUUCAUAGCAUAGAUUCAUCAUCUUUCCUUCCACAUACUUAUUUUGGUUCUUUAUUCUAUGCGCUGCUUCUAUUCUUUUAAUUAGGCAGAAAAUAAUUAUAGCAAGUGAAAAUUGAAAUGAACAAUUUUAAAAAUUUUAGCACAUCAAUUUUCAUUUUUAUUAGUUUUCCUUGUUAAUUUCAUGUCAGUUUGCUUCUUCUGUCUAAGAAGUUUGUGCUUAACAAGGAGCCAAGGAGGUUUGUGAAUCAUUUUAAUUGACUUUUGGGCUUCAUCUUUCCAAAUACUUCGAAGAAGAAACCAAGUUUUCUGAAUGUUAUUCUGCUUUCUGAUUUAUUCCAACAAUUAUUUCUUAAAUAUCUUUUUGAGAUAUUUUGUUACCAUCACAAGUUUUCUUAUUUUAGAUAUAUUGCAAGCUUGCUCUUGAAAAUUGGAAAUUCCCAAAAUCUUAUGUAGAAAGAUGCUAGUGAAAUUCCCUCUUGGCUUUUGUUUUCUCUAUCAAAAGAAAAAGUGACUUCUAAGUUUAAAUAGACUAUUUGUAUUAGCUUUAAUUUGUUUUAUAAUAAACCCCUAACGUAAUGAAAUAUUUUAAUAUAGAUCCAACGAUUUCUAAAUAAUUCAAAAAGGAAAUAUAAUUCAUGACCUUUUUACUUAAUUUUUUUAAAAUUGAAUUAUUCUCCAUUUAAAUAUAAAUUAUUCUCCAUUUUCAAUUCAGAGCAUCAAGAAUCGAAUUGAGACAGAGAAAGAAAUAUUAAUAAACAAGUUGGGCAUUUCAUCUUACUUUAGUUUCCUGCAGAGGACUCAUUGCAUUCACUUGCCUACCUUUACUAAUUCAUUCUCUUCUCAUAAAUUUUAUUCAUUGCAUUGCAUUCACUGAUUUUGCUCUUUUCUUCACAAAUUUUGGAAGGAGAUAUUACGAUCUUUCCUUCUUCCUCAAAUUUAACCAACACCUUCUCAAGAUAAAUCGGAGCAGAACCAACCCAUUACCCUACUUGUCCAGGUAAUCAAACUGUCUACUACUUUAUAUUAUGAUUUUUAAUCUUUUAAAUCAUAUGACGUUAUGACAUAAUUUCAUCACCUUUCAACAUAUAUAUACCUCAUAAUUAUUUUGGUUCUUUCUCUAUCACGCUUCUAUUCUCUUAAUCGGGUCGAAACUAAUCAUAGUGUCAAUAAGAAAUAGGAAUAAUUCCAAAAUCUUUACCAGAUACGGUUUUCCUCUUUUUGGUUUCAUGUCAGCUUUUUUCCACAAAAAAAAUGUGCUUAACAAGAAGCAAAGGGGAUUAAUUUCCGGUUCAUCGAUCUUUGACCUCUCUUCUUCGUCUUUUCACAUAAUUCGAAGAAGCAAAACUGGAUUUAUAUCUAUAUCAUGCACGGGUGAUGAUUUUAUUUACAAUAUUAUUUUUGAAUUUAGAAUAAAAAUGAUAACAUAAAAUAGAAUGCCAAAAAAAUUUAAGUUGCAAGUAUGCAUGUUUAGUGAAAGUGUCUUAAGUAUCUUGAUAAUAAGAAUAAUAAAUGAUUCUGAUGAAAAUUUAUUGCACUGAAUACAGUAGAACAAUUGAGUACAAAAAUAAAUUGAAUAAUUCAUCAAGGAGUUUGAAAUACAAAACUACUUGAUCAAUGAGGUCAAAAUACAUGUAUAGACCAAAUCAAAUAAUUCAAACAAGUCUAAAAGAAAGAAAAAAAUCAAAGUUUUGAUUACAUAGGAAUUUGCUUCAUUAUUUGUUCUGCUUAGUGAAAUCAACUAGAUCUUUGCUUCACUUGACUGGCUUAAGUAUCUAAUCCUUAUGAUUUUUCGUGACUGCCUCAUUGAACCAAGUAAAAUUGUCUAUGCUUAUGAUUUAUUUUUAUCUUUAGUAACAUUAAUUAAUUAAUCAGAAUCUUAACUUAAACAUAAAUUCAUCUUACCAUGACCUCCAUAUAAAUAUGAAAAACAAGUUGGGCAUUUAUUUUAGUUUCUACAUAAAUAUUGACCUUGCCCACUUUUCAAUAAUUCAUGUGCUUCAUAAUUCAUUUCCUUCUCAUAGAAAAUAAUUCAGAAGGAGAUCUGGUUGUUGCUAUUCUCUUCACAAAUUUUGAAAGAGAUCUUAGUUCCUGCUUUCACAAACUUAAUCUAAGGAUACAAGCACUAGCUCAUCCUCCACACUUUACCAGGUAAUCAAACUAUUUAAUAUAGAUUUGGGUUCAUAUUUUUUGCAAUCUUAGAUUCAUCAUCUUUCCAUCCACAUAAUUAUUUUGGUUCUUUUUUCUGUAUCAUACUCCUAUUUUCUUAAUUAGGUAGAAAAUAAUCAUAAUCAACAAGUGAAAACUGAUAACAAAUAAUUCUGAAGAUUUUAACAAUAAGAUUUUCACCUUUCUUAACACUACUAAUUUUCCUUUUUAAUUUUAUGCCAGUUUGUUUCUUCUGCUUAAGAAGUUUGUGCUUAACAACUAGCCAAGGAGAUUUGUGGACCAUUUUAAUUGACCUUUGGCCUUCAUCUUUCAAAAUAAUUUGAAGAAGAAAUCAGGUAUCUUGAAUGUCAAUCUACUCUCUCAAUUUAUUCUCACAAUUAUCACUUAAAUAUCAUUAGGAAUAUAUUCUUGUUUUCACAAGGAUACUUGUUUUAACUAUAUUAUGUUUAAAUUAUAUUAAUCCACAAUUAAAAUUUUUUAAGACUAUUAAAAAAUAUUAAUUAAUAUUUUCUUGCCUAUCAUUUACUAUUGGGACAAAACCCCAUUGACAAAUUUUUUUUUUGUUAUACUUAUAACAAGUGAAGCAAAUAUUUUAAUAUACUUUGGUUUUUUAAACUACAGGGAGCGUAUAUGGAGUUCAUAGGGUCAAUUCUUGAAGUGGUAAAGUGCUUUGGGGGUCCAACAUGUACAUACAUAGACUAUCAUCGAAAACUUGAAGAACAGAUGAAUCAUCUUCGAGAAAAAGUGAAUGUUUUAAAUAUUCGAAAGGGAGACCUCGUAUUAAGAAAGGAUGAGGAGCUUCGUCACAGAAGAGUGGUGAGGGAAGAAGUGGAGUACUGGUUUAAAGCUGUAGAAAAGGUAAACACUGAAAUGCAAGAGAUUGAAAUGAAGUUUCGUGCUGUUUCAUACUUCUUACGUGGUCGUUUUGGAAAAUUUGUUUGUCGAAAGAUUGAAGAAGUGAAGGAAAUUCACCAACAAGGUAGUUUCCCUGACGGUGUGGCUGUUGAUGGGCCUCCAGCCACCGGGGUGAUGUUACCAACACCAAACCUAGAAGGUGAGAUCGAUGUAAAAGAGCAAAUUUGGGAGUAUUUGAUGGAUGAUGAGGUUGGAAUGAUUGGAGUAUGUGGAAUGGGUGGCAUAGGGAAAACUACCAUCAUGAAGCAUAUCAAUAAUCAAUUGUUGGAGGAAAGUGAUCGAUUUGAUAAAGUGAUAUGGGUCACCGUAUCAAAAGAAAUGAAUAUUUCCAAAUUACGAAGAGAUAUUGCACAUUCUUUGAAACUAUCUAAUCAACUUUCAGAAGAUGAAUUGAAAGCAGUGUUAAAAGAUACUUUGGAGGGAAAGAGUUAUGUGUUAAUCUUAGAUGAUGUUUGGAAACAGUUUCCUCUAUUGGAUGUGGGAAUCUUUGAAUCAACAUUAGGCAUGGGAAAGAAAGUAGUGUUCACUAGCAGGUCCAGUGAGGUCUGUAAAUCUAUGGGUUGCAAGGUGGUGGUCAAUGUGCAACCACUUUCAAAAUUGGAGUCCAUGAACUUAUUCUUAUAUCAUGUGGGGCAAAGCGUUGUACAAGAUCAAAAUUUAAAAGACAUUGUCAACAAAAUUGUUGAGCAAUGUGGUGGUUUACCACUUAGUAUUGUGACAAUAGCCGGAAGCAUGAAAGGGGUAGAAGAUAUUUGUGAGUGGAAGAAUGUACUAAUUGAAUUAGAAGAGAGGGUGGAAAGUGUGAAAGAAUUGGAUAUCAAAGUAUAUGAGCCUUUGAAGUUCAGUUAUGACCAUUUGAGAGAUCCAAAAAUCCAAAAUUGUUUCUUAUAUUGCUCCCUAUAUCCUGAAGAUUAUAUAAUUAGAAAAGUGGAAUUAAUUGAAAAUUGGAUAGAUGAGGGACUCCUUGAUGGCUUACAGACCAAAGAAGCAAUGCAUCAUAGAGGUUAUAGCAUUUUAAAUAAGCUUGAAAGUAAUUGCCUAUUAGAGAGGGCUACAUUUCUUAUUGAUGAUGAUGGAGUUAAGAUGCAUGAUGUUUUGAGGGACAUGGCGUUGUAUAUUGCAGGUCAUCAGUUCAUGGGAAAAGUAGGUAUGCAAUUGAAAGAAUUCCCAAGUGAGCAAGAAUGGACAGUGAGUGUUGAGAAAGUUUCCUUGAUGCGAAAUUCAAUAUUAGAAAUUCCUUCUCACAUAUCACCUAGAUGGCCUCAUUUAUCAACUUUGAUAUUGCAACAAUGUGGCUUACAAAAGAUUUCAGAAUCUUUUUUUAAGCACAUGCCUGGGUUAAAAGUUCUAAAUCUUUCAUAUAAUUAUUCCUUAAAGUAUCUGCCUAAUUCGAUCUCAAACUUGAAAACUCUCAAUGCAUUGGUACUCUUUUGUUGUGAUAAGUUAAAAUAUGUGCCUUCCUUAGUAGAGCUCACAGCACUAAGAAAGUUGAACCUUUUGCGCACAGCAAUUAAAGAGGUUCCUCAUGGCAUAGAGAUGUUAGAAAACUUGAGAGAUCUUCGUAUGAUGUCAUGGGCUUUAAAAGAGCUACCAGUAGGAAUAUUACGGAGGAUUUGUCAUCUCCAAUGCUUAAUGCUAGCGGAUACGUUUGUAAAGGGAGAAGAAGUAGGCCAAUUGAGGAAGCUCGAGUGGGUUUCAUGUUCAUUUCGCAACGUGCAAGAGUUUAAUAAAUACGCAGAGUGUACGCAAGGUAAAUGGCCUACAUCUUUCACUUUUCAAGUGGGGGGAUCACCUAUGCGAUGGUAUAUUGGUUUUGGGCAAUCCCCAAAUUUCAAAAAAAUUGAGAAAUGGGUUAUAUUCGCAGAUUCGGAGAUAGAGAGGUGUGAUGAUAGGGUGGUCCCACAUGACCUUCAAACUUUAACUAUUGAGAAGUACGAUGAUUUCAAAUGUUUAAACAACAUUCCUUUGUUUCGUAAGGCGACUGACUGGAAGGAAUGUCAAAUUGGGGAGUGUGAAGGGAUGGAGUGUGUGGUUGACUUGUCAUUAUCGUCUUGUGACGCACUUGACAACAUUGAGGAGUUAC